AAGAAAGUAAAAAGCCACAAGGAAGUCAACUGCUACAAAUAAAAGAGAUGAAAAGCAUCCAACACACAGCAAAAACCAGAAUCAGGCUCCAUUGUGACAUCAGGGACUAGGACUGAUAAAAACGCUGACCUCUGCCUAGGUCUGCUCAGUGGGCAGGGUAAGAGACCACUGUAUAACCUGGAAAUGGGUCAGGCCACCCACUGGCAUGGAGGCUUCCUUCCAAUGCAUACUAAUAACAAAGAUGGCAGGCAUGGAGAUUACAGAAAGCUUCUCUCACUGGUGCAUGCCUGGAGGAAGGAAAAGCUCCUUUCCAAAGAAAAACCAGGAAGCCAGCUAGACCCUAGCCCUUAUAAAACAGAAGUCUUUAGCCCCUGGAGGAGCAUGUAGCAAACUAUUGCUCCCAGAGCACAGUGGAAGAAGACUUAUUACAGCUGAGAAAUGGAUAGAUAAAAAGGAACCCUAAAUUGCAGAUGAUGCCAGAUACGUCUGCCAAAAUGUUGGAUUUUUCUCUGUGAUGUCAGGUUUUAG
RNAcentral lists this long non-coding RNA (528 nucleotides) under Homo sapiens (human). RNAcentral describes it as "HSALNT0316223". Lineage: Eukaryota; Metazoa; Chordata; Mammalia; Primates; Hominidae. The record is from RNAcentral.